RNAcentral lists this ribosomal RNA (680 nucleotides) under uncultured bacterium. RNAcentral describes it as "bacterial SSU rRNA". It matches the Rfam family "Bacterial small subunit ribosomal RNA", at positions 60 to 703 of the family's 1533-position model. The record is from RNAcentral.
AGUCGAACGGAAGCCGUUAUGAUGAUUUCAACACUGACAGAGAACUUGUUCAAAGAAAGUAGAGAUUGACUUAUAACAAUGGCUUUAGUGGCGGACUGGUGAGUAACACGUGAGCAACCUGCCUAUCAGAGGGGAAUAACAGUGAGAAAUCAUUGCUAAUACCGCAUAUGCCAUAAAUAUCACAUGAUGAAAGUGGGAAAGGAGUAAUCCGCUGAUAGAUGGGCUCGCGUCUGAUUAGAUAGUUGGUGGGGUAACGGCCUACCAAGUCGACGAUCAGUAGCCGGACUGAGAGGUUGAACGGCCACAUUGGGACUGAGAUACGGCCCAGACUCCUACGGGAGGCAGCAGUCGGGAAUAUUGCGCAAUGGAGGAAACUCUGACGCAGUGACGCCGCGUAUAGGAAGAAGGUUUUCGGAUUGUAAACUAUUGUCGUUAGGGAAGAUACAAGACAGUACCUAAGGAGGAAGCUCCGGCUAACUACGUGCCAGCAGCCGCGGUAAUACGUAGGGAGCAAGCGUUAUCCGGAUUUAUUGGGUGUAAAGGGUGCGUAGACGGGAAAGCAAGUUAGUUGUGAAAUCCCUCGGCUUAACUGAGGAACUGCAACUAAAACUACUUUUCUUGAGUGUUGGAGAGGAAAGUGGAAUUCCUAGUGUAGCGGUGAAAUGCGUAGAUAUUAGGAG